RNAcentral lists this unclassified non-coding RNA (258 nucleotides) under Hevea brasiliensis (rubber tree). The record is from RNAcentral. Lineage: Eukaryota; Viridiplantae; Streptophyta; Magnoliopsida; Malpighiales; Euphorbiaceae.
GACUUCAUUGUUCCUCUCACCACAAUGUAGACAUUCAAAGGCUGACAACAAGAUCUUUCUGAAGUGCGGAAUUAAAGUUAAUAAAAAUCUUGUUGUCCCGUUUUCGCCGCAACGCAUGCAGAGGCUUUCUACUUCGUAGCUAGGAACAUCGGCGUCUUCGUUUGCAACUACUGCUUCGACAACCGACUGCACGUCCAAGACUUGCUCUGCAUCUUUUGCGGCCAUUGCUAUCAACCGGAUGGAUUCCUUCACUUCUAU